This 199-nucleotide ribosomal RNA is filed under the name uncultured bacterium. RNAcentral's name for it is "partial 16S ribosomal RNA". It matches the Rfam family "Bacterial small subunit ribosomal RNA", at positions 328 to 539 of the family's 1533-position model. The record is from RNAcentral.
ACGCUCGACACCUACGGGAGGCAGCAGUGGGGAAUAUUGCACAAUGGGGGAAACCCUGAUGCAGCGACGCCGCGUGAGCGAAGAAGUAUCUCGGUAUGUAAAGCUCUAUCAGCAGGGAAGAAGAUGACGGUACCUGACUAAGAAGCACCGGCUAAAUACGUGCCAGUAGCCGCGGUAAUCUGAGGCGGGCUGGCAAGGC